This 253-nucleotide ribosomal RNA is filed under the name uncultured bacterium. RNAcentral's name for it is "partial 16S ribosomal RNA". It matches the Rfam family "Bacterial small subunit ribosomal RNA", at positions 524 to 776 of the family's 1533-position model. The record is from RNAcentral.
UACGUAGGGUGCGAGCGUUGUCCGGAAUUAUUGGGCGUAAAGAGCUCGUAGGCGGUUCGUCGCGUCGGCUGUGAAAACCCGGAGCUCAACUCCGGGCCUGCAGUCGAUACGGGCGGACUUGAGUGUUGCAGGGGAGACUGGAAUUCCUGGUGUAGCGGUGAAAUGCGCAGAUAUCAGGAGGAACACCGGUGGCGAAGGCGGGUCUCUGGGCAACUACUGACGCUGAGGAGCGAAAGCUAGGGGAGCGAACGGG